GUCGAAUGGGACCUUCGGGCACCCAUGGCAGACGGCUGAGUAACGCGUGGGUAUCUACCUUUGAGUCGAGCAUAACCUGCCGAAAGGCGGGAUAAUUCUUGAUGGUCUCGUAAGAGUAAAAAUUUAUUGCUCAAAGAGGAACCUGCGUCCGAUUAGCUAGUUGGUGGGGUAAAGGCCUACCAAGGCGAUGAUCGGUAACUGGUCUGAGAGGAUGACCAGUCAGACUGGGACUGAGACACGGCCCAGACUCC
This 251-nucleotide ribosomal RNA is filed under the name uncultured bacterium. Its description in RNAcentral is "partial 16S ribosomal RNA". It matches the Rfam family "Bacterial small subunit ribosomal RNA", at positions 61 to 339 of the family's 1533-position model. The record is from RNAcentral.